Phalacrocorax carbo (great cormorant) is the source of this 268-nucleotide non-coding RNA. Lineage: Eukaryota; Metazoa; Chordata; Aves; Suliformes; Phalacrocoracidae. The record is from RefSeq and is a predicted model, not a curated record.
GCCGCCGUUCGCCUGCUUCCCAUGACACAUCUUCUGCCCGCCAAAGGCAUCCGGUUCGCCGCCGCCUGCAACGAAAGAACCGUUUCGCUUCCACACUUGACACAGUUAAUUUUCUUCGCAUUAUGGCACCUGAAGUUCUGCGUAAGAGAACCCAGUGUCUUUCACCUCCAGCUCACAAAUUCGUCACUCACUGAAGGCCACACGGAAAGAAGGAGGAAUUGGAGUGGAGUCCCCAUGAGAGAGGAGAAUGAGAGAGAUGAAGCAGAUG